AAAAGAAUUAUCUUUUUUCUUAUGUGAAGUAUAUAUGGUCUAAUGUCGUUGUAAGAAGAGGAAGAGAAACCAGAGUUCUCUCUCCUGUGCAUACCAUCAAGGAAAGGUCAUGUGAGCACGCAGUGAGAAGGUGGCCAUCUGCAAACCAGGAAGAGAGCUUCACCAGAAACUGACCAUGCUGGCAUCUUGGUCUUGGACUUCCAAGCCUCAAGAGCUGGCAUUUGAGAACUCACAAGAGAUGGUUCAUGUCAUUACUGGGGCUGAAGAAAUAAGAAAAAAGAAUGGUUAUUGGAAUCUGAAAACUGGGAGUGCCGAGUGGAUAGAGCUGUGUAACAGGACCUGUGGCCUUAGGCAAGUGACUUAGCCGUGCCAUGCCAACUCUGUUGGGAGAGUCAAGGGCUCUGAGGAUACGUCCUCUGUGCUGUAUUGGCUUUCUGGUUCAUUUGGUUCUCUCAGCAGCCCUGAGAAAUAUGUUGUUAUAACACUU
Molecule: long non-coding RNA, 487 nt
Filed under: Homo sapiens (human)
Lineage: Eukaryota; Metazoa; Chordata; Mammalia; Primates; Hominidae
Description: HSALNT0315996
Source: RNAcentral